GAGUUUGAUCCUGGCUCAGGAUGAACGCUGGCGGUGUGCCUAAUACAUGCAAGUCGAACGGGGUGCAGCAAUGUACCAAGUGGCGACCGGGUGCGUAACACGUAGCUGACCUGCCCCUCAGCGGGGGACAACAGUUCGAAAGGACUGCUAAUACCGCAUGAGCUUGGGGUUACCAGAAAACCCUAAGGAAACUUCCGGGGCUGAGGGAGGGGGCUGCGGCCCAUCAGGUAGUUGGUGAGGUAAAAGCUCACCAAGCCAACGACGGGUCGGGGACCUGAGAGGGUGGUCCCCCACACUGGGACUGACAGACGGCCCAGACUCCUACGGGAGGCAGCAGUAAGGGAUAUUGCGCAAUGGGCGAAAGCCUGACGCAGCAACACCGCGUGGAGGAUGAAGGCCUUCGGGUCGUAAACUCGUUUGACGCUGACGAGGAAGGACGGUAGGCGUCGAAGAAGUCACGGCUAACUACGUGCCAGCCGCCGCCGUAAC
RNAcentral lists this ribosomal RNA (489 nucleotides) under uncultured Anaerolineae bacterium. RNAcentral describes it as "bacterial SSU rRNA". It matches the Rfam family "Bacterial small subunit ribosomal RNA", at positions 9 to 524 of the family's 1533-position model. Lineage: Bacteria; Bacillati; Chloroflexota; Anaerolineae. The record is from RNAcentral.